This 258-nucleotide ribosomal RNA is filed under the name uncultured Prochlorococcus sp. RNAcentral's name for it is "partial 16S ribosomal RNA". It matches the Rfam family "Bacterial small subunit ribosomal RNA", at positions 194 to 455 of the family's 1533-position model. The record is from RNAcentral. Lineage: Bacteria; Bacillati; Cyanobacteriota; Cyanophyceae; Synechococcales; Prochlorococcaceae.
UACUGGUGAAAUGAAUUUCGCCUGAGGAUGAGCUCGCGUCUGAUUAGCUAGUUGGUGAGGUAAUGGCUCACCAAGGCUUCGAUCAGUAGCUGGUCUGAGAGGAUGAUCAGCCACACUGGGACUGAGACACGGCCCAGACUCCUACGGGAGGCAGCAGUGGGGAAUUUUCCGCAAUGGGCGAAAGCCUGACGGAGCAACGCCGCGUGAGGGACGAAGGCCUCUGGGCUGUAAACCUCUUUUCUCAAGGAAGAAGAUAUG